UGGGGAAUAUUGCACAAUGGGCGCAAGCCUGAUGCAGCGACGCCGCGUGAGGGAUGACGGCCUUCGGGUUGUAAACCUCUUUCAGUAGGGAAGAAGCGAAAGUGACGGUACCUGCAGAAGAAGCGCCGGCUAACUACGUGCCAGCAGCCGCGGUAAUACGUAGGGCGCAAGCGUUAUCCGGAAUUAUUGGGCGUAAAGAGCUCGUAGGCGGUUUGUCGCGUCUGCCGUGAAAGUCCGGGGCUCAACUCCGGAUCUGCGGCGGGUACGGGCAGACUAGAGUGAUGUAGGGGAGACUGGAAUUCCUGGUGUAGCGGUGAAAUGCGCAGAUAUCAGGAGGAACACCGAUGGCGAAGGCAGGUCUCUGGGCAUUAACUGACGCUGAGGAGCGAAAGCAUGGGGAGCGAACAGGAUUAGAUACCCCAGUAGUCCCUGAGCGGGCUGGCAAGGCGCAU
Molecule: ribosomal RNA, 452 nt
Filed under: uncultured bacterium
Lineage: Bacteria
Description: bacterial SSU rRNA
Rfam family: Bacterial small subunit ribosomal RNA
Source: RNAcentral